GAAAAGGCCUACAGCAGCUCGUGUCUUGCCGAGACCGCGAGCAAGAUCUCUAUCUCUUAAGGGGUCUCGAUAUAUUUGGGGAUAAGGAAAAUGAAUAUCUGCUAUAUAUCUGGUCAGAUACAGUCCAUCGACAUAUUUUACGAUCUACCAACCUAUACCAAUCUUCUUGAGACUCGAAUAUCGUCUACACGGAUAUAUGGAAAUCAGAAUUCGGAUUAGCAAAUAAGGUGAAAAGAAAUGGGUGGAAGGAACCAGUUUUUAAACGUCUUUGGCCGGGUUCCUCUUCUUCGUUUCUUCUUCCAUUCUCUUUCGUACUUGUCUUGUCUUCUAUUCCCCUCCUCGUCUUUUCUCAGUCUGUCUUUGCAAUCGGUAAAGAGAAUUUACUGCAGUUUGGACUUUGUUCCCAGGUUUGACACUAGGUCUCCUAUUAACUUAUCAGUAUCUUUCAAUUUGUUUUAAAUCUUUUGAAUAACCCGCGAAGUGAUAGAAAUUUGUUGAAUUUGAAUGAUACAAUAAAUUCUUGAAACAUAAUUAUUGAUCACGAAUGAUAUUAUAUCAACUGCAGGAAAAUCUUGUCUACAUCUUAUAAUCGUGUAAAAUUUAAAAAUUAUCAAAAAUUAAAUUUAUGAAAUUUUAAGACAUUUUUAUUCUUUUUACUCAUUACAAUUUUUAACACAUAAAAUUUUUAAUAUACAGUCUGAAAGAACAACGAAUUUUAAGAUAUUUCAUCGUUUUCUUAGUGGAACCCUUCUUAGUACAGUAUCCUUCCAUCGAAUGUUCGACCACAUUUCCAUGGUCGUUUUGCAAUCCGUUACAAAGGCCGGCUUGUUAGAUGCCGUGGUAUAUACGACAUGCACGAUUUUACACUCUGGCGCUUGUGGUCGGUCAGGCCGCAAACAUUUUUCGCGCCUCACAGAGAGAAGCAACUCUUCGCGACACGAUUGAUCAUCUUCUGAAGAACACACCAAAUCAUGUAGAAAAACUUUCUACAAACAGGUGCAGCAACAGAGAUAUAUGAUCUAUGUAUAACCGAAAUCAACGCAAAAAUAGAAAAAAAAGUGCAUAAUAAUGGAAUUCUUAUCAAUUGCAAUACUAUUUCCGAGACUUCGAAUGAAAGCUCAGUCGAUGAAUAAUACAUGAUACGCAUUGUCAUGGACCGAAUUGUCUUUGAUGAAAUCACCUUGUCUCUCUAAGAAAGAAAUUACUUAAUUUAACAUUGUAACAUAAUAAUGAAUUUACUAUUUUCAUUUCAUAUAUAUAUCUACAUACUAUAUUCAGUAAUUUUUAAUUCUGAACAUUCAUUUUAAAAACAUCAAAUCAUUUUCCAAGGAAGGAUGGGGGUUGUUCUGGAUCUAUCGAGCAACAGAUUUAGCAGAACGCUUAAUGAAUAGUUGAUAACAGUAUGCAUUGUAGCCUGCAUGUCCGAGGGUUGGGUCAUCUAACAAAUGGCCCAUUGUUAUCUCUUACAACUCUUUGGUUUUCCUCUUACUCCUUCUCUUCUUCGCUUUUUUCCCUUCAUCCUUCUUUCACCGUGCACGAAACGGGUAUACAUAUAGGAUAAUUCAGAAAAGAGAAACAAUCUUCUCGCGCGAAAAAUUAUUAUUAUUGUCUUUAAUCGAUUGAAAAAUACACAGUUUGUAUAAUAACUA
Apis mellifera (honey bee) is the source of this 1649-nucleotide long non-coding RNA. RefSeq lists it as uncharacterized. The record is from RefSeq and is a predicted model, not a curated record. Lineage: Eukaryota; Metazoa; Arthropoda; Insecta; Hymenoptera; Apidae. The transcript has 4 exons.